This 139-nucleotide non-coding RNA is filed under the name Burkholderia sp. CF145. Lineage: Bacteria; Pseudomonadati; Pseudomonadota; Betaproteobacteria; Burkholderiales; Burkholderiaceae. The record is from RNAcentral.
CCUGCUGUACGACCAGCAGUAGCCUAGGAGGACAUGCGUCACUGGCAACGGUGAGGUGUGAAGCUUCUCUGACAAUGUAGUCCCCGACGUUCAGGGCUGAGCUUUACCCACAAGUUACGGACCUGACUUAAAGAUGCGG